Molecule: long non-coding RNA, 2545 nt
Filed under: Zea mays
Lineage: Eukaryota; Viridiplantae; Streptophyta; Magnoliopsida; Poales; Poaceae
Description: long non-coding RNA (ZMAY_LNC004484)
Source: RNAcentral
GUGAGGAGACCAUCGCCAUGGACGGAAACGACCGCUUCGGUCGAUUCAACCCUGGGGCGACCCUACGGCCUUGGCAUGUGGACCCUGGGGCUUCGCUUGAUCCCCGCGGUUGUAAGCGUGGCCGGGCCGCCUGGAAUUCGUCCCCGGCGCCGCUCUAAUUUCUCGUCGGUGGCAAGCUCCUUUCCCCUUGCCGCCGUGCCGCGUGGGCUGAGUUCAACACUGCUCGAUCACUCGUAAGUCUACCACCAUCAGAUUCUCCUUACCUCGCUCUCUGUUUUCCACGAUAUCAUGCGCUGUUGGGGCUCUGGUAGCUUACCAAUCGCUCGGCGGAAGUAGAAUUUGUUCCCCUCAACCCUCCUCGCCGUGGCUGGGGCGUGUCCCUGCACGGGGGCCCAUGUGGGUACCCUUAUCAUGCUCGACGGGGGCUCCGCAUCGUUUGGGAAAUAGGGCUUUGAGAUUGGUGUCGUUCUUUCGUGGAUUCGCCUUACGCCGGUGGCUGCGCCGCCGCAAGGAGUCCGGCUGGCGGCGUCUGGUCGGCGAAGGAGGAAGAACGGUAGAGGACCGUUAGAUCAAAAGGGGGUGGUCGAGAUCAAAGGGUAUGUAACGUUUCGACCAAUUACAUGGUGGCCGUUGGAUCGUGAUCUGAAGGAUGGCAGUGAAUACCGGUUCGGGUAGCGCUGGAUCUAAUCCUGACCACUGGAUUCGGAUCUGAUGGCCGAGGCGGCGCCAUACCCAUUCGGCUGGCUAGUUUUGCGUCUAGGUCCUUACAUUAUUUUAGAAUCAACCCGCGGUUCAUUCCUGGGCCGUCCGUGUCUUAGGAACUCUUCCUUAUUAACCCCUGCUCUUUUAAGAAUUUGAAGACCAGUCCAGAGUUCAUAAGAAAGGGAUAAAUAAAAAUCUAAAAAUGAUUUUAAUGAGAAAAGAAUUGCUAGAACUUAUAAAAUUCAUAGAAAAUUCAUCUCUAGUCCAAAUCACUCCGUUCCAGUUGCUAAAAUUUUGUAAUUUUAUUCUCUAUCACUUAGAGCCUCUGUUUUGUCAUGAAAACAGUAAUAAAUUUAAUUCCUUACUUAAUCCCAUUUUAAACACAUAAAACAUUUGAAAAUGCAUAACUUAAAAUCUAUAAGUCCAAAAAUUAUGAUUUCUGUUCCUAGAAUUUUAUUUUAAUGUGUAGAUUAUUACUGUGUAUUUUGCAUAUGUGUUUGGUGUAAUGUUAAUUUUGCCUAUACAAUGUUUGUCUGUAUUGCUACGACUAGCAGUGAGGUCACGAGUCACCUGAAGAUCAUCCUGGUACCUGGAAUCUCAAGGCCCAGGCAAGUUGUGCCCUUGAUCACUUCUUUUUACCCACUCAUGUUCUAAUUAAUCAUAAUGAUCUGCAUAGGUUAAUUUGAUGGGACCCAAUAGGUUACCCUAGUUUGUCUAUCUUUAUACCUUGUUUACCACUGAACUUUUUGGGUAGUACUUGCUAGUGCUUUAUGUGGUUUUGGGUAUGAAGAUACAUUAUUCAUGAUCACACUUUUAUUAUCUGUUUAUUAUCACUGUUCAUGAUAAGAUCAUUAUGUUAAUUGGAACAUGGAGAACCACCCGGGAAAACAGUGCUACCACAAGGGUUUAAUGGGACGCCCUUGGCCGAUUAAUUAGGAAAGCUAGUGGAAGACUACCUUACCCGAAAGGGGCAAGGGCAGUAGGGGAGUGGUCAGUGUAGGGAGGCCCUCGGGAGGAUUUUGCUGUGAUGGCGGUCCUGCAAGGGAUUCCUGGGAAGGCCCUCGAGAGGAUUUUGCUGUGAUGGCGGUCCUGCAAGGGAUUCCUGGGGAGGCCCUCGGGAGGAUUUUGCUGUGAUGGCGGUCCUGCAAGGGAUUCCUGCAUUGGAGCUUCCUAUAAACUGUAGCGGGUUUUCUGAAGCUAGUGGAACUUUGUAAAGGCCUCGUAGUGUUACCCUGCCUCGCCUCCUCGGUAGAGGUGUAUGGGAAGUCGCGAUCCCUUGGCAGAUGGGUAACAUGACUUGUGGGUAAAGAUGCGCCACCUCUGCAGAGUGUAAAACUGGUAUACUAGCCGUGCUCACGGUCAUGAGCGGCUCGGACACUCACAUGAUUAAAUUAUGGAACUUAAACUCAAUUUGUCAUAUGCAUUGCAUCGCAGGUGAGUUUGUUACUUUUGUUCUACUAUUUAAUUGGGUUGGUAUUUACUUAUACUUAGUAAUUGCUAAUAAAAUUUUGACCAACUUUAAAAGCAAUGCUCAGCUCUAACCAUCUCCUUUGGUAAGCCUUACACUUCACGUGAGCUCCCACCUUUGGCGAGUUCAUGCACAUUAUUCCCCACAACUUGUUGAGCGAUGAACGUAUGUGAGCUCACUCUUGCUGUCUCACAUACACCACAGGUCAAGACCAGGUACUGCAGGAUGAUGCUCAUGGAGGAUGCUGCGAUGAGUUCGUGAGUGGUCUAGGUCGUCGUCUCCCAGUCAACUUUGGGUUGCUGGACCGUUGUCUCCUUAUAAUGUAAUUAUUUAUUUUGUAUAGAACUCCUGUUAUAUAUAAAGAUGUGACAUUCG